GAACAUAAGAGUUUGAUCCUGGCUCAGAUUGAACGCUGGCGGCAUGCUUUACACAUGCAAGUCGGACGGCAGCACAGAGAAGCUUGCUUCUUGGGUGGCGAGUGGCGAACGGGUGAGUAACAUAUCGGAACGUACCGAGUAGUGGGGGAUAACUGAUCGAAAGAUCAGC
Molecule: ribosomal RNA, 169 nt
Filed under: Neisseria meningitidis
Lineage: Bacteria; Pseudomonadati; Pseudomonadota; Betaproteobacteria; Neisseriales; Neisseriaceae
Description: partial 16S ribosomal RNA
Rfam family: Bacterial small subunit ribosomal RNA
Source: RNAcentral